GACAGAGGGUGCAAACGUUUGUUCGGAAUUACUGGGCGUAAAGCGCGUGUAGGCAGCUCGGAAAGUCGGGUGUGAAAGCCCUGGGCUUAACCUAGGAAGUGCACUCGAAACUUCCGAGCUUGAGUUCUGGAGAGGAAGGCGGAAUUCUCGGUGUAGAGGUGAAAUUCGUAGAUAUCGAGAGGAACACCGGUGGCGAAGGCGGCCUUCUGGACAGUGACUGACGCUGAGACGGCGAAAGCGUGGGGAGCAAACAGG
Molecule: ribosomal RNA, 255 nt
Filed under: uncultured bacterium
Lineage: Bacteria
Description: partial 16S ribosomal RNA
Rfam family: Bacterial small subunit ribosomal RNA
Source: RNAcentral